UCCGACUGUGUAGCAAUUAUUUUUGUCUACCCCUCAUUUCUCGAACGUUGCGAAAUCGACAUUGGAAUCGCGAACCGCAUCAUCCCGUGCAGCGCCAGAACAUCCGAGACCGAGCCAGGAGAACGAAUGACUCUGAUUUCUCACCAGAUUCAUCGAUCGUUUCGCCAGACUCCGGAGACCCAGGGUAAACUCGGUGAAAAGCAGAGUGACCUAAAAGCGGAGUCAUCACUCUGUUGACCGUCCACGCGUAUGACGAAUAAGAAACAUUUAUGAAAAUACAUUAAAGCAUUCUAAAAUAAGAUCGCUUCGGAUAAAGUACGCCUUUAGAUUUUGCUCAAAUCUUUACUUAUUCUUCGACUAUGAAUCUAAAGAGCGCCUUAAAAUGAAACUUAAGAUAGGCCAGGCACGCCAGGCCGAGCGAGUGGAGCGAACGAAGAGAGAGACAGAGAGAUAGUUGGAAGAGGUGCUGACUCUUUCUAAUGCUAUGUGGAGGGAGCACCUCCAUUCUCUUCCUUUCCUUCUCCGCACUAGCAGACGAGCGUAGACGUGUGCAGCAAUAUACGAAGU
Molecule: long non-coding RNA, 567 nt
Organism: Dinoponera quadriceps
Lineage: Eukaryota; Metazoa; Arthropoda; Insecta; Hymenoptera; Formicidae
Exons: 3
Source: RefSeq, a predicted model, not a curated record